This 30-nucleotide non-coding RNA is filed under the name Cricetulus griseus (Chinese hamster). The record is from RNAcentral. Lineage: Eukaryota; Metazoa; Chordata; Mammalia; Rodentia; Cricetidae.
AAAUGUCCCCUUAGAGGACAGAGUUAGAGG